Long non-coding RNA from Loxodonta africana (African savanna elephant), 2161 nucleotides. RefSeq lists it as uncharacterized. Lineage: Eukaryota; Metazoa; Chordata; Mammalia; Proboscidea; Elephantidae. The transcript has 4 exons. The record is from RefSeq and is a predicted model, not a curated record.
UUAAUUAAGAUGUCCCACAAGACUGUGGCCCUAAUCCUUCAAACCCAGAAAGCCAAACCUGUGAGGUGGUUGGUUAUAUCUAAGAAGUAUCUGCUAUGUGCUUUAUUAUAUAUAUGAAUAUAUGUGCAUAGGGUAACAGGCAUGCAUAUAUACACACAUAUGCAGACACCUAUAAACUAAAAAAACAACCAUUGCUGUUGAGUCGAUUCCACGUCAUAGCGACCCUACAGGACAGAGUAAAACUGUGCCAUAGGGUUUCCAAGGAGCACCUGGUGGAUUCGAACUGCUGAUCUUUUGGUUAGCAGCCGUAGCUCUUAACCACUGUGCCACCAGGGUUUCCCAUACACCUAUAUUUACCUAUACACAUAUAUGCCUACAUAUAUGCAUAUAUACUUGCACAUAUAUUUUUUAGUUGUAAUUGCCCAUAGGGUUUUCAGUGGCUGAUUUUUCAGAAGUAGAUUGCCAGGCCUUUCUUCCGAGGCACCUCUGUAUGGCUUUGAACUUCCAUUCUUUCAGUUAGCAGCCAAGUGUUAACCUUUUGUACCACCCAGGGUCUCUGUAAAACACAUACUUGAUCAUUAUUCCAGUCAAGGGACAAGAGUGUAUUUUUACACUCAGACCCCAUAAAUUAUUCAUUAAGGGAGGCUACUGUUGGCUAUAAAUUACCCUGGCACUUUGUGCCAGGCUUGUGUGUAGGCAAAGUGGGUUCCAGCAGCCUGAGGGCAGCCCUCUGAUGAAGCUGUAGGUGGUGGCUGCUGGAAGUCAAGCCAGGAUGUACAGAAGUGGGGAGAUAGGAAGGGGACUCUGGUGUAUCUGCUGUAGGAAACCAGGAGAGAGAGCUUGGAGGGCUUAGCUUAUCCCAUUGUCUAUCUGACAAGCAACCAAUUUGAAAGCCAUGGCGGCGGUGGGCUAUGUCAUGGACCAAAAGUUCUCCACAAACAGGUGGUCCAGGCUAGUGAGUAACCUGUGCAGUGAACAUUUGCCACUCUUUGGGCUGCCUACCCUCCUAAACCCUUUGUAUUUGGGGGUUUUUUACUCCAUUAAGUGAUUCUUUGUGAAAUGCUCUCACUUCAGAGGCCAAAAGUGCUGGACGUAUUUUUUCCUUGCCUCCUUGCAGGCAGGAUAUGGGCAAGUGAUCUAGCCUCAGCCAUUCAGAGACUCCUACCUAGAACUUCUAACCUGGAGGGAGUGAGGCAGGAAUGCAGACACUGUGGGGAAUUGUUCUUGACGGUGCUGUUGGAGUCUAGAAACAGGCAUCAAGGUGGCAGUCCAGCAGCUGUGGUGCAAGAAUGACCUGGCCAUCCCCCACCCCCGUCCCAGUGCCCUCCCUGCCUGGCUCCCCUGAUUUGUUCCCAUUUCCUCAUGCCCUUCCAACAAAUUCAUUUCCCGUUUCAGUUAGCAACGUUGGUUCUUUAUUGUUUCCACUUAAGAUCCUCAGAGAGUGACAAAAGUCUGAAUUCAGGUAAAGGCCUGCUCUGUGAAGAGUACUUUUCCAGGAUCUAGAGGAGGCUAAGAGAAAUAAGGUGUUCAACCUUCAAUAAGCUCACAAUCUAAUUGGACAGGCUAGGUACUAAAGUGAAGGACAGGUGAAGAUAAACCAAACAAUCCACCUCCCAGAAUAUUCAAUACUCGGGAGAAGCAUAGAAGAAAGAAGAAAAGAGGAUGAAACCUAAGCACUCAGCUACUAGCCAAAAGGCUGCCAGUUGGGAUUCACCCAGAGGCACCUCAAAAGAAAUGCCUAUUUCCAGAAGGUCACAGCUAUUGAAAACCCAAUGGACUGCAGUUCUACUCUGAAAUACAUGAGGUCAUCAUGAGUUGGAAUCAACUUCAUGGCAACUGGUUGGUUUUUUGUGAGGAGGCCUUAGCUUUUUUUCCUGUCCAGCUCAGGGUUGAUACUGGCUCCGGGAAACAAAUUGUUUUAGUAUUACUGUGCAGUGUUAGGCGAAGCCCCAGGUACGUUUUUUUGGGUGUGAUCAAGAAGAGAAUUGCAGCAUGCAGCUUUGGUCUGCAGACUUAAACCCCCACAUGUUCACAUACCAGAACUGACAGGCAUAGGUGAAAGAUCUGACAGUAGGUGCACAUUUAGAGGGUCAGGAGAGCAUGAUAAGAGCACACUCGGGACCAGACCACUGGGUUUAAUGCCCAUCUUUGCCACCUACUC